AGAGUUUGAUCCUGGCUCAGAGCGAACGCUGGCGGCAGGCCUAACACAUGCAAGUCGAGCGCCGUAGCAAUACGGAGCGGCAGACGGGAGAGUAACACGUGGGAACGUGCCCUUCAGUUCGGAACAACCCAGGGAAACUUGGGCUAAUACCGGAUACGUCCGUAAGGAGAAAGAUUUAUCGCUGAAGGAUCGGCCCGCGUCUGAUUAGCUAGUUGGUGGGGUAAUGGCCCACCAAGGCGACGAUCAGUAGCUGGUCUGAGAGGAUGAUCAGCCUCACUGGGACUGAGACACGGCCCAGACUCCUACGGGAGGCAGCAGUGGGGAAUAUUGGACAAUGGGCGCAAGCCUGAUCCAGCCAUGCCGCGUGGGUGAUGAAGGCCCUAGGGUUGUAAAGCCCUUUCGGCGGGGAAGAUAAUGACGGUACCCGCAGAAGAAGCCCCGGCUAACUUCGUGCCAGCAGCCGCGGUAAUACGAAGGGGGCUAGCGUUGCUCGGAAUCACUGGGCGUAAAGCGCACGUAGGCGGCUUUUUAAGUCAGGGGUGAAAUCCUGGAGCUCAACUCCAGAACUGCCUUUGAUACUGAGAAGCUUGAGUCCGGGAGAGGUGAGUGGAACUGCGAGUGUAGAGGUGAAAUUCGUAGAUAUUCGCAAGAACACCAGUGGCGAAGGCGGCUCACUGGCCCGGUACUGACGCUGAGGUGCGAAAGCGUGGGAAGCAAACAGGAUUAGAUACCCUGGUAGUCCACGCCGUAAACGAUGGAUGCUAGCCGUUGUCGGGUUUACCCGUCAGUGGCGCAGCUAACGCAUUAAGCAUCCCGCCUGGGGAGUACGGUCGCAAGAUUAAAACUCAAAGGAAUUGACGGGGGCCCGCACAAGCGGUGGAGCAUGUGGUUCAAUUCGAAGCAACGCGAAGAACCCUUACCAGCCUUUGACAUCCCGGUCGCGGGCACCAGAGAUGGAGCCCUUUCAGUUCGGCUGGGACCGGGGACAGGUGCUGCAUGGCUGUCGUCAG
Molecule: ribosomal RNA, 1010 nt
Filed under: uncultured bacterium
Lineage: Bacteria
Description: bacterial SSU rRNA
Rfam family: Bacterial small subunit ribosomal RNA
Source: RNAcentral